CGCGCCUUCCGGUGCCAGUGGUGGACCACAAGAAUGGCACAUAUGAGCUAGUGUACACAGCGCGCACGGAAGGCGAGCUGCUCCUCUCGGUGCUGCUCUACGGACAGCCAGUGCGCGGCAGCCCCUUCCGCGUGCGUGCCCUGCGUCCGGGGGACCUGCCACCUUCCCCGGACGAUGUGAAGCGCCGUGUCAAGUCCCCUGGCGGCCCCGGCAGCCAUGUGCGCCAGAAGGCAGUGCGUAGGCCCAGCUCCAUGUACAGCACAGGCGGCAAACGAAAGGACAACCCAAUUGAGGAUGAGCUCGUCUUCCGUGUUGCAGUCGUGGAAGGGAGAAAGGU
Molecule: long non-coding RNA, 337 nt
Filed under: Homo sapiens (human)
Lineage: Eukaryota; Metazoa; Chordata; Mammalia; Primates; Hominidae
Description: non-protein coding lnc-ARFIP2-3:4
Source: RNAcentral